GAUGAACGCUGGCGGCGUGCCUAAUACAUGCAAGUCGAACGAGACGGAAGGGAGCUUGCUCCUUGAUGUCUAGUGGCAAACGGGUGAGUAACGCGUAGGCAACCUGCCUCUAAGAUGGGGACAACAGAGCGAAAGUUCUGCUAAUACCGAAUGUUGUAUCUUUACCGCAUGGUGGAGAUAUUAAAGAUGGCCUCUACUUGUAAGCUAUCACUUAGAGAUGGGCCUGCGUCUGAUUAGCUAGUUGGUGGGGUAACGGCUCACCAAGGCGACGAUCAGUAGCCGGUCUGAGAGGAUGAACGGCCACAUUGGGACUGAGACACGGCCCAGACUCC
RNAcentral lists this ribosomal RNA (332 nucleotides) under uncultured Selenomonas sp. Its description in RNAcentral is "bacterial SSU rRNA". It matches the Rfam family "Bacterial small subunit ribosomal RNA", at positions 28 to 339 of the family's 1533-position model. The record is from RNAcentral. Lineage: Bacteria; Bacillati; Bacillota; Negativicutes; Selenomonadales; Selenomonadaceae.